CCUACGGGGGACUGCAGUGAGGAAUAUUGGUCAAUGGUCGGGAGACUGAACCAGCCAAGCCGCGUGAGGGAUGAAGGUACAGAGUAUCGUAAACCUCUUUUGUCAGGGAACAAAGGCGGGGACGUGUCCCCGGAUGAGUGUACCUGAAGAAAAAGCAUCGGCUAACUCCGUGCCAGCAGCCGCGGUAAUACGGAGGAUGCGAGCGUUAUCCGGAUUUAUUGGGUUUAAAGGGGGCGCAGGCGGUCUGUUAAGUCAGCGGUAAAAGCCCGGGGCUCAACCCCGGCCCGCCGUUGAAACUGGCAGUCUCGAGUUGGAGAGAAGUAUGCGGAAUGCGCGGUGUAGCGGUGAAAUGCAUAGAUAUCGCGCAGAACUCCGAUUGCGAAGGCAGCAUGCCGGCUCCACACUGACGCUGAGGCACGAAAGCGUGGGUAUCGAACAGGAUUAGAUACCCUAGUAGUC
RNAcentral lists this ribosomal RNA (459 nucleotides) under uncultured bacterium. Its description in RNAcentral is "partial 16S ribosomal RNA". It matches the Rfam family "Bacterial small subunit ribosomal RNA", at positions 338 to 795 of the family's 1533-position model. The record is from RNAcentral.